RNAcentral lists this ribosomal RNA (376 nucleotides) under uncultured bacterium. RNAcentral describes it as "bacterial SSU rRNA". It matches the Rfam family "Bacterial small subunit ribosomal RNA", at positions 524 to 898 of the family's 1533-position model. The record is from RNAcentral.
UACAGAGGGUGCAAGCGUUGUUCGGAAUUAUUGGGCGUAAAGGGAGUGUAGGCUGUUAAGUAAGUCUUCUGUGAAAUCUACGGGCUUACCCCGUAACGUGCAGAGGAAACUGCUUAGCUUGAGUGUCGGAGAGGAUAGGGGAAUACCCGGUGUAGAGGUGAAAUUCGUAGAGAUCGGGUGGAACACCAGUGGCGAAGGCGCCUAUCUGGCUGACAACUGACGCUGAGACUCGAAAGCAUGGGGAGCAAACAGGAUUAGAUACCCUGGUAGUCCAUGCCGUAAACGAUGAUAGCUAGAUGUGUGGGGUAUUGACCCCCUACGUGUCGAAGCAAACGCGAUAAGCUAUCCGCCUGGGGAGUACGGACGCAAGUUUAAA